GUCCUUGUCGAUUAGGGGUUAAAUCAUCACGUUGUGGUCGCUGUGGUCUUAAACCGUGAAGCCGGAAGUUCGAAUCCUCCCUAGGACA
Molecule: non-coding RNA, 88 nt
Organism: Postia placenta Mad-698-R
Lineage: Eukaryota; Fungi; Basidiomycota; Agaricomycetes; Polyporales; Adustoporiaceae
Source: Rfam